ACCUGGAGGAGGAGCCAUAGAUUGUGAGGGAGGAGCCAGAGCAGGAGCCAGCCAUGGUAUAGAGCAGAGGGUUGACAGCACUGCUGAGGAUGUUGACCAGGUGGUACGGAGCCCACAAGAGGGCGAAAGUCACGACUAUCAGUGUGAUGAGGCGGUUGGUCUUCCUGUAGGAGCGGUGGUGCCAGUGGGCACGGCUGGAUGCUAAGGCAUGAGCGAUGCGUAAGUAGCAGAACGUCAUGAUGCUGAAGGGGACCAGGAACGCAGUAACUGUUUCUAGGGAAUAGUGGAACACCUGGUGGAGAGGAUAGGACGAGAAACGAUUUGAUUUCAUUAUUAAAGUGUCUUCAGGAUGCCAAGCCCACAUGGGGUUACAUUUUAGUACGAGUGUAAUUACAUAUUUUAUCUACUUAAAUUGCAGUUCUUGUCUGUUACAAAUAAAUGCAUCAAAAACUAUGUUGACAGAUUGAUCAAUUGUUUUAGCUAUAUCCACAUCUAUUUAGAAUAAAUAUGCAUAUAGAAUUUAAAAAAUCUACGAUAUGUUUUAUGGAAAACAGAUGAAAUAAUGUGGUGUACAAUACUAAAAUAACAAGAUGUAUGAAGGAAUAUUCUGUCAGUAAAGUUACCUGGUGGGCGGGCCCGGGGUGAUGCGUGGUACACUCCCCCUUUCGGACCUGGCGGUACACAAGCUGAGGAGUGGGAAGCACCGUAGCCAGCGCCCACACCACACACAUGAUAGGAAAGAGCUUCGACUUCGUCCGGACUCGCUGGGACCAGAAAGGGCGUAGCACGCCAUGGAGUCGGUCGACCCCCAUCAAGACUCUGGCCUUGAAGAGCUGGUGAAUAAACAAGGGUGCGGAGAGCAGCACGAGUGCGUCAGCGGCCGCUAGCUGGAGGAUGAAGAGGGACGUGAUGGAACGACGACUCAGGCGGAAUAGUAUGGUCCAAACCACUAGGAGGUUUCCGGGGAGACCCAAGGCCAUAGCAACCAGGAGAAAGGAGAUUCCGACAGAAUAAGAAAUGGAGGGGUUGGGAGUGGAUGAGUCGGUAGAGAAGUAGGUGGUGGUAUUCCAUGCUGUGGAUUCCAUC
This is a long non-coding RNA of Oncorhynchus tshawytscha (Chinook salmon), 1086 nucleotides long. RefSeq lists it as uncharacterized. The transcript is spliced from 3 exons. The record is from RefSeq and is a predicted model, not a curated record. Lineage: Eukaryota; Metazoa; Chordata; Actinopteri; Salmoniformes; Salmonidae.